GAUUAUGGCUCAGGAUGAACGCUGGCGGCGUGCCUAAUACAUGCAAGUCGAACGCAUCACUUCGGUGAUGAGUGGCGAACGGGUGAGUAAUACAUAAGUAACCUGGCCCAUACAGGGGGAUAACUGCUGGAAACGGCAGCUAAGACCGCAUAUGUGUAGAGAUCGCAUGAACUCUAUAUGAAAAGUGCUACGGCACUGGUAAGGGAUGGACUUAUGGCGCAUUAG
RNAcentral lists this ribosomal RNA (225 nucleotides) under uncultured bacterium. Its description in RNAcentral is "partial 16S ribosomal RNA". It matches the Rfam family "Bacterial small subunit ribosomal RNA", at positions 15 to 244 of the family's 1533-position model. The record is from RNAcentral.